Non-coding RNA from Paramuricea clavata, 452 nucleotides. NCBI's taxonomy places the organism in Eukaryota, Metazoa, Cnidaria, Anthozoa, Malacalcyonacea, Plexauridae. The record is from the annotation of a GenBank genome assembly.
AUUUUCUCGGCUUAGACAAUGUUUAUUUUUAAAAUUACUUCGCCAAUGAACUCGUAAGAUGGGUAAUCGUAUUUUAAGCACGUUUUCGGAUCGAGUUUGUCGGUAUCAGAUAAAGAUCGGCUGCUCAUGUUUUAACUAUUACAUAUUGUGGUCCUAUCAGUAAACUGAUGAACGACCAGACAGCACUAGUAAUUGUGCUAGAAGCGUUGCGAAAUAUCCAGGGACGCCGGAACUGGGGGGGCAGGGGGUGCGGCUGCCCCCCUUGCCUUUUGCUAGGGGGGGGCAGGGGGGCAGAAGUGCCCUUUUAGUUGUAAAAUAAUACGUGAUAAAUCACAUUUCCAACGAUGCUUUUUGUAGGAAAAUCACGAGAUUCAGGUAAUUUAUAGUUUAUAUUUAUAAAAAUUUGGGGAAAUUUUUGGAAUUUAGAAAAAUAGUUUGAAGAAAUGGCGAAA